This 489-nucleotide ribosomal RNA is filed under the name uncultured bacterium. RNAcentral's name for it is "bacterial SSU rRNA". It matches the Rfam family "Bacterial small subunit ribosomal RNA", at positions 28 to 525 of the family's 1533-position model. The record is from RNAcentral.
GAUGAACGCUGGCGGCGUGCCUAAUGCAUGCAAGUCGAGCGACGCAUGUUCAGUCCGUAAGGACCGAGCAUGACGGAGCGGCGAACGGGUGAGUAACACGUGAGCAACCUGCCCCACAGACCGGGAUAGCCCAGGGAAACCUGGAUUAAUACCGGAUAUCCUCGGACAACCACAUGGCUGAUCGAGGAAAAGCCUUUGUGCUGUGGGAUGGGCUCGCGGCUUAUCAGCUAGUUGGUGGGGUAACGGCCCACCAAGGCGUCGACGAGUAGCUGGUCUGAGAGGACGAUCAGCCACACUGGAACUGAGACACGGUCCAGACUCCUACGGGAGGCAGCAGCAGGGAAUCUUGCGCAAUGGGCGAAAGCCUGACGCAGCAACGCCGCGUGGGGGAUGAAGGCCUCGGGUUGUAAACCCCUUUCAGGAGGGAAGAAAUUGACGGUACCUCCAAAAGAAGGACCGGCCAACUACGUGCCAGCCGCCGCAGUAAAA